CCUACGGGGAGCAGCAGUGGGGAAUAUUGGACAAUGGGCGAAAGCCUGAUCCAGCCAUGCCGCGUGUGUGAAGAAGGCCUUCGGGUUGUAAAGCACUUUCAGUGGGGAAGAAAGCCUUGGGGCUAAUACCCUCGAGGAAGGACAUCACCCACAGAAGAAGCACCGGCUAACUCCGUGCCAGCAGCCGCGGUAAUACGGAGGGUGCGAGCGUUAAUCGGAAUUACUGGGCGUAAAGCGCGCGUAGGCGGUCUGAUAAGCCGGUUGUGAAAGCCCCGGGCUCAACCUGGGAACGGCAUCCGGAACUGUCAGGCUAGAGGGCAGGAGAGGAAGGUAGAAUUCCCGGUGUAGCGGUGAAAUGCGUAGAGAUCGGGAGGAAUACCAGUGGCGAAGGCGGCCUUCUGGACUGACACUGACGCUGAGGUGCGAAAGCGUGGGUAGCAAACAGGAUUAGAUACCCGUGUAGUC
Molecule: ribosomal RNA, 465 nt
Filed under: Vreelandella stevensii
Lineage: Bacteria; Pseudomonadati; Pseudomonadota; Gammaproteobacteria; Oceanospirillales; Halomonadaceae
Description: partial 16S ribosomal RNA
Rfam family: Bacterial small subunit ribosomal RNA
Source: RNAcentral